This 1238-nucleotide long non-coding RNA is filed under the name Arabidopsis lyrata. Its description in RNAcentral is "long non-coding RNA (ALYR_LNC001986)". Lineage: Eukaryota; Viridiplantae; Streptophyta; Magnoliopsida; Brassicales; Brassicaceae. The record is from RNAcentral.
UUAUGCAACACUUAUCAAUUCAACAAUUUUCUUAAAGCAACAACAAAAUUCAGACUCCAAAGCAUAAUCACUAAUCUAAUCAGAGAAACCAAAAGAGAAAUAAUCAAAUGUUUUCUUGUUUCCUCUUGUAGAAUAUGAAGAAGAAGAACAACAGACGACACAUCAACGAAGUCGUAUGGCUUCUCUCUCAAAAUCGAGCAAGGUGAGGAUAUCACCUUCCCUCACCGGUCAUUAAACACAAUCAGUAAAAACUAAGCAAAACCAAUAUAAACCCAGAUUAUAAAUAAUUGAAAAAAACCAGAGAUUGAGUAAAAAAAAACAAAAUAUGAACAUAUCCACAAAACCACAUCCACAAGAGCACCAUAUAUAACACAAAAAUCCAACUAAUCCAUAAGCGUUUUUAGGUGUUUUUCCAACAAUAAAACAUAUCAAUUUACUUGGAUCCAAGGACAAACAAGAACAUGUUCAACAUUGAAUCCAAAAAAAUUUAGUUAAAACGAUUGACUUGUGAAUGAGAACUUGUAUCUUUCAAAAGAGGUAAAAGAAAGACCGACCGAUGAAUCCAACCAUUUGAUAACCUCCAGGUUCUCUCACAGUGUAGCUAGUACAAAAAGGUCAGACUUUUGAUACACACUUGAUAAAAAAAUUGUGAUAAAGGUCAAUUAAGUGGCAAAAAAAAGAAUUCAAAGAGAAGCAAGCAAAAGGCACAGAGGCGCGAGGUGGCGGCGGUUGACAGCGAGUUGUUUAGGAAAGAGAAGCAAAGAUCAUCGGGAGAUGAGCCCGAGAAGGAUUCUUGUUGGAACCACAACCUAAUGGUCUUCGCCGGCGUGGUUUGAAAAUAGACAAAGAAUGAAGUGGAGGCAUCGUCAAGAGCUGCGGAGGCUGCCUACGAGAAGUGGGACAGAGGGAAGCAUAGAUCUACGGGAGAUGAGUCGAGAAGGUAUCCGACAAUAACCAAAUCCAGAAGGUUUUCAUCGGCAAGAUUUGAAAAUGGACGGAGCGAGACAAUGAGACACCGGAGGAGCAAAGGGUAAAACGGUACCUCGGAGAUGAACCUCCGACGAGCACAAAAACAACACGACUAGGACCAAUAAACAGAGGAGACGACAAAGAAGGAAAACAAAACUUAGAAAAGCCGCCGGAAAACGAAGCCUCAGUGGUUGCAAGCUUAAGUUCUUAUUUUUAUUUUUUAGAUCUAGCACAUAAAGCUCUAAUUAUUCUGUUUUCAGAUUAGAAAA